CGACAGUGUCUUGGGUUCAGUAAGUAAAAACUGCUAUGGUGCAAGAAUUAGAGAUGUUGUGUGUUUGUGUGGGUACUAAAAUAGGUCUUAUACUA
This is a long non-coding RNA of Aricia agestis (brown argus), 95 nucleotides long. RefSeq lists it as uncharacterized. The record is from RefSeq and is a predicted model, not a curated record. Lineage: Eukaryota; Metazoa; Arthropoda; Insecta; Lepidoptera; Lycaenidae. The transcript has 3 exons.